UCGGGUUGUAAAGCACUUUUGUCCGGAAAGAAAACCUCUUGGAUAAUACCUGAGGGGGAUGACGGUACCGGAAGAAUAAGCACCGGCUAACUACGUGCCAGCAGCCGCGGUAAUACGUAGGGUGCGAGCGUUAAUCGGAAUACUUGGGCGUAAAGGCGUGCGCAGGCGGUCCGCUUAAGACAGAUGUGAAAAUCCCCCGGGCUUAACCCUGGGAACUGCAUUUUGUGACUGGCGGGCUAGAGUAUGGCAGAGGGGGGGUAGAAUUUCCACGUGUAGCAGUGAAAUGCGUAGAGAUGUGGAGGAAUACCGAUGGCGAAGGCAGCCCCCUGGGGCCAAUACUGACGCUCAUGCACGAAAGCGUGGGGAGCAAACAGGAUUAGAUACCCUGGUAGUCCACGCCCUAAACGAUGUCAACUAGUUGUCGGGUCUUCAUUGACUUGGUAACGAAAGCUAACGCGUGAAGUUGACCGCCUGGGGAGUACGGUCGCAAGAUUAAAACUCAAAGGAAUUGACGGGGACCCGCACAAGCGGUGGAUGAUGUGGAUUAAUUCGAUGCAACGCGAAAAACCUUACCUACCCUUGACAUGUACGGAAGUCCGCUG
RNAcentral lists this ribosomal RNA (602 nucleotides) under uncultured Burkholderia sp. RNAcentral describes it as "bacterial SSU rRNA". It matches the Rfam family "Bacterial small subunit ribosomal RNA", at positions 418 to 1003 of the family's 1533-position model. The record is from RNAcentral. Lineage: Bacteria; Pseudomonadati; Pseudomonadota; Betaproteobacteria; Burkholderiales; Burkholderiaceae.